UUUAAUUAACCAAAUUAGUUAUUUUAAUGAAAAUAUGCGAUAAUGUCGAUUUACAAAGUUGAAUCGAAUCAGUCACAAAAUAUGCUCAAGAACCGGUUUGCACGAAACGACAACAUAAUUAAUGUCGUUCGUAAGAUCACAACACGGUAAAAUAUUCCAUUAAUGUAUCGAAGAUUUGAUGGAUAACAUACAGAUGCCAAAUCCAUGGGUUUAAUCUCCGAUUUAUUCACAAUAAAAUUAAAUAUUGGUAAUACAAAUUUUUUAUCAUAUUAUUUAUUUACAAAUUUAUUUAUAAUAUUGUUUACUAUUUAUCAUAUAUAAGAAAACUCAAAAGUGCAUGAAUGUAAUAUGUAAAGUAAAUAAAGUUGGAACAGUACACACCGCAUCCGCCGCUUAUCACCACGAGACGUUUCCAAGCAUUGUUAUUUUGCCAUUACUACUUUAACAUUUUAGUAAUGAUUAUUAAGAACAGGAUUAACAUAUAACCCACCCUGUUAUAACAACUAACCUAAAUUGCUUCCAUAAGAAAACAAAACUUAUUCAAAAUCCAUAAAUUUCUACAAAGCAUACAAAAUCCUAUAUGGGAGGUUAUGGAAUAAAACCAGUCACGUUCUGCUAGCAUCAAUAGCAAGAAAAAUUCAUGGCGGUAACCUCAGAACACAACAUCGCCAUAUGAAAUAAAAUAUAAUAUGAUCAAUAAAACGCCGCGCCCUCUAAACAUGAUUAAAUGACAGUUUCAAACGUUCAUCAUGCAAUAUCCAACUUCGACGCCACAGUCAAUUAGCAGUAGCACGAUACAUGCCAUAUCAUUACAAACUUUCAAACACAGGAAACAUAUUUUAAAAUCUAAACAUAAUGCAAUGAACUCAAAUCACACAAUAGCAGGGAUGUAAUGUAAACUAAGACCAAUCAACGCUUUCUGAUAACAAUCCAACACAUAUGUGGAAGAAAAUUGGCAACAAUCGCAGUAGAAAAUAAUCGCGGCAACCCCGCCAUUCAACCAAUACCGAAAUACACGAUGAAUGAGCAAUAUAAUCCAAUUAUUUAUGUAUAAAAAACUUAACAUUGAACAAUAUGGUAAUCGAUUCGUUACCGUCGGCGACUGUUAUCGUGUUGUGUUGAACUCGCUAUUGCUGUGUGUCAGUCAAUGCUUCGUGGCUGCUCCGUGUUCCGUUUACACCGUCACGUAUCGCGAUCUCGAACUGAAUAAAAACCCCUUCGCAACACUUUCUACUAAAAAAUGGGAGACGUGAGGCCGUCGUUAUUGGUUGAGGAGGGUUGGGUUUGUGGAUUCGGACGGUUAAGCUUCAUAGGAAGAUGACGGCGGCGCGAUGACUCGGCGACGCUCAGAAAUCAUGGUGGCGUGGAAGGAGACGCGGCGAGGGAUUGUUUGAAGGCUUUGAGCGCUCACCGACGUGUGGUAUGGUGGUUCGAUUUGUGAAAAAUGGUGGUUGUGAGUUGCGAAGGUGACGGAGGUGGAGAAGGAGAUGAUUUGGGGGCGACGACGAAGUGAAGAAGUUUUGUCACCGGUGAAGGUGGUUUAUAGUUUGCGGUGAUGGAUGAGGAAGGAAGGGAUCGAAGAUGGUAUGGUCUGUUAUUGAGGCGAUGGGAGGAAGGAGCGUGAAGAGGGAAGGUGGAUUUUGUGAUGGAAACACAUGUGUGGAAGAAGAAGCAAUCCGUUACAGUGAAAUGUGUUUUUCUUUAUUUCUUUUUUUUGUCGUUAUAUUGUGAGAGAGUUUUUUUCUCCUCUGUGUUGUGAGUUGUGUGUGUUAUUAAAUAAGGGGAUAGAGAAAGAUUUUAAGUAUGGUCAACGUGAAUGACAAGGUGAUAGGUGGCGUGUAGGUGAGGGACGUGUGUAAUAAGGGGAUAGAGAAAGAUUUUAAGUAUGGUCAACGUGAAUGACAAGGUGAUAGGUGGCGUGUAGGUGAGGGACGUGUGGGAAACGUGAGGUAGUUUGAUAGGUGGCGUGCAGAGUGAGGGAAACAUGAGAGAGUGAAGGAUAUCUGUGUGAGAGGAUUUUUGUGGAUCGGAGAGAGAGCCUCAAGAUUUUCUCUAUUAUUUCUUUAUUUUAUUUUAUUAUUAAUUAAUUCAAUUUUUAAUAGAUGAAUAGCAACGCACAUGGUGUGUCAAUAUUGACAACUGAUUAAUU
This 2149-nucleotide long non-coding RNA is filed under the name Lathyrus oleraceus (garden pea). RNAcentral's name for it is "Pisum sativum (pea) long non-coding RNA (PSAT_LNC003286)". Lineage: Eukaryota; Viridiplantae; Streptophyta; Magnoliopsida; Fabales; Fabaceae. The record is from RNAcentral.